Molecule: ribosomal RNA, 424 nt
Filed under: uncultured prokaryote
Description: bacterial SSU rRNA
Rfam family: Bacterial small subunit ribosomal RNA
Source: RNAcentral
UGGGGAAUAUUGGGCAAUGGGCGCAAGCCUGACCCAGCCAUGCCGCGUGCGUGAAGAAGGUCUUAGGGUUGUAAAGCGCUUUCAGCGGGGAAGAUGAUGACGGUACCCGCAGAGGAAGCCCCGGCUAACUCCGUGCCAGCAGCCGCGGUAAUACGGAGGGGGCUAGCGUUGUUCGGAAUUACUGGGCGUAAAGGGCGUGUAGGCGGUCCGUUAAGUCAGUGGUGAAAUCCCCGGGCUCAACCUGGGAACGGCCUCUGAUACUGGCGGACUAGAGUCCGGGAGAGGGUAGUGGAAUUCCCAGUGUAGAGGUGAAAUUCGUAGAUAUUGGGAAGAACACCAGUGGCGAAGGCGGCUACCUGGACCGGUACUGACGCUGAGGCGCGAAAGCGUGGGGAGCAAACAGGAUUAGAUACCCCCGUAGUCC